ACGCUCACUUCAACAUCACAGAUGUUAAAACUGGAACGACCCAGAGAUCAUUAGCAUGACCUCUGCACAAGGAUGAGAGGCAAACUCAUGAAGGAUCCUUAUUUAAA
Molecule: small nuclear RNA, 107 nt
Organism: Rattus rattus (black rat)
Lineage: Eukaryota; Metazoa; Chordata; Mammalia; Rodentia; Muridae
Source: RefSeq, a predicted model, not a curated record